GCAGAGAUGAUAAACAAAAGUGGGUUUGCAAUUUUCCCCAUUACCAAGGAAAAAGAGUUGGGCGAAACCGUAGGCGCAGGAUGCAGGUGUAGAAAAAUCCAGGCGUAAGAAAAGUGAAAUUAAACAUAUUCACUCCCGCAGUAAUUACUGCUUAGGAGUGGCAGCGGGAGAAGCAAAAGGAAUUAUUUGUGUUAGUGCAGACAGGUAAGGGCGAGAGAGAGAAGUGUAAAAGUGGCGCUGAAUGGCGGCUUCUUCGUCUGCAACAGUGCCAGCGGCGUCGUCGGGGCUUACGCGGGAGGCCUCCAUUUACUCGUGGACGAUCGACGAGCUCCACAGCACCGUGGCCAACAAUCGGGGCGUGGGAAGCAUGAACAUGGACGAACUCCUUAAAAAUAUCUGUAGCGCGGAAGAGAGUGGGGGCGGGGGCGGGGGCGGGGGCGGGGGCGGAGAACAAUUGCUAGGUCGGCAGGGCAGCCUAACGCUGCCUCCGAGCAUUGUGAACAAGACGGUGGAGGAGGUGUGGAAGGAGAUUCAGACAAGUGCAUGUGGCAGCGCUGUGAGUGCUCCGGUGCAGAGGGAGAGAGAACUCACAUUGGGGGAGAUGACGCUCGAGGAUUUCUUGGCCAAGGCUGGAGUUGUCAGGGAUGACUCUUUGCCCACUAAUCCUCAAGAGGAUUGGCUCAAUUUCCAGUUUAAGGCUGCCCAGGGACCGCAACCGCUUACAAUUCAGCAUCCGCAACAGCAUUUUCAACGCCAGCAACAGCCCAUGUUUGGGAAAAAUCCAACGACUGCCGCCAUUCCGGCCCUGCAGUCGAGCUCGACGGGAAGCAUUCUAGAAGCCUCUAUGGAGUCUGGUGCUACGAGCUCUUUUGCGCCUGCCUUUGGCGGAUUGUCGCCUGCAAGUGCCAGUGCCGGUACCAUUGCUAGGGGUAAGAAACGUGUUUUGGAUGCGCCAGAGGACAAAGCAGUGGAGCAAAGGCAGAGGAGGAUGAUUAAGAACAGGGAGUCUGCAGCACGCUCACGGGAGCGCAAACAGGCAUACACUGUGGAGCUAGAGGCUCAGGUGACUCAAUUGAAAGAAGAGAAUGCAGAAUUAAGCAGGCUAGAGGAGGUGGCAAAAAAGAAAAGGUUCAAACAGCUCAUGGAAAUUCGUAUUCCAGUGGAAGAGAUGCGAACACCACCUCGAGUUCUUCGAAGAACUCGUACAGCUCAUUGGUAGAGUGCUAUUUUAUACAGUCAUUGAUACAUACUAGACGCAUAACAGUAUAAUGUAUACCUGUACUGCAAUAAUGAGAAGCUGAUUAUCUUCAACAAAUGGCAGGGGUGAAGCGUAUGCAGUUAUCAUAUCUUUGAUGAAAACUCUUAGGGUGUACAUUGUGCUUAUUACAGGGGAGCACUGAUCUCAGAAGAUCUGAUAAAGCAAACAUACGCAUCUCACUGUUUGAUACUUCUGCUGUGAUGUUCUGGAGCAGAUGGUGUGAAGUGGAGACUUGCACAUUCAUAGUAGAAACUAUCUUUUAAUCAGUGUAGAUUCUGGUUUAGCAUAAAGGGCGGCUUUAGUUUUUCAUCGUGUUCCACUUGUUUUGAGGUUUGAAAAUUUGGAAGACCGUUUUAAUAUUUGACACAACACUUGAUAGUGUUAGACUGUAAGUUCAGAAGUCUUUGUGAAUAGCUGUUCUUGCAGGUCAAUUUGACUAGUAUACAGAUCCAAUAAACAACGUUACUUUUGCCUUUUUCUUUCCCGUAUAUUGUUCUGGCCAUCCGAAACUAGUACUUGUUCAAUAAGAAGGCACUUGUACAUGGUAAUAUAAUUAAUAAGCAAUCAUUUUCUUCUCGA
This is an RNA transcript of Cryptomeria japonica (Japanese cedar), 1837 nucleotides long. It is a transcript of the gene named ABSCISIC ACID-INSENSITIVE 5-like protein 2, with no coding region annotated. Lineage: Eukaryota; Viridiplantae; Streptophyta; Pinopsida; Cupressales; Cupressaceae. The transcript is spliced from 5 exons. The record is from RefSeq and is a predicted model, not a curated record.